UACGGAGGGUGCGAGCGUUGUCCGGAAUCACUGGGCGUAAAGGGCGCGUAGGCGGCUUGGCAAGUGGAUGGUGAAAUCCCUCGGCUUAACCGAGGAACUGCCGUCCAAACUGCUUCGCUUGAGACCGGGAGAGGUGAGUGGAAUUCCCAGUGUAGCGGUGAAAUGCGUAGAUAUUGGGAGGAACACCAGUGGCGAAGGCGGCUCACUGGACCGGUACUGACGCUGAUGCGCGAAAGCGUGGGGAGCAAACGGG
This 253-nucleotide ribosomal RNA is filed under the name uncultured bacterium. RNAcentral's name for it is "partial 16S ribosomal RNA". It matches the Rfam family "Bacterial small subunit ribosomal RNA", at positions 524 to 776 of the family's 1533-position model. The record is from RNAcentral.